CCUACGGGAGGCAGCAGUGGGGAAUAUUGCACAAUGGGGGGAACCCUGAUGCAGCGACGCCGCGUGAGUGAAGAAGUAUUUCGGUAUGUAAAGCUCUAUCAGCAGGGAAGAAAAUGACGGUACCUGACUAAGAAGCCCCGGCUAACUACGUGCCAGCAGCCGCGGGAAGACGGAGGGGGCAAGCGUUAUCCGGAUUUACUGGGUGUAAAGGGAGCGCAGACGGCUGUGCAAGUCUGGAGUGAAAGGCGGGGGGCCAACCCCCGGACUGCUCUUGAAACUGUAAAGCUGGAGUGCAGGAGAGGUAAGCGGAAUUCCUAGUGUAGCGGUGAAAUGCGUAGAUAUUAGGAGGAACACCAGUGGCGAAGGCGGCUUACUGGACUGCAACUGACGUUGAGGCUCGAAAGCGUGGGGAGCAAACAGGAUUAGAUACCCUUGUAGUC
RNAcentral lists this ribosomal RNA (440 nucleotides) under uncultured bacterium. RNAcentral describes it as "partial 16S ribosomal RNA". It matches the Rfam family "Bacterial small subunit ribosomal RNA", at positions 338 to 795 of the family's 1533-position model. The record is from RNAcentral.